ACUGAACGCUGGCGGCAUGCCUUACACAUGCAAGUCGAACGGCAGCACGGGUGCUUGCACCUGGUGGCGAGUGGCGAACGGGUGAGUAAUACAUCGGAACAUGUCCUGUAGUGGGGGAUAGCCCGGCGAAAGCCGGAUUAAUACCGCAUACGAUCCACGGAUGAAAGCGGGGGACCUUCGGGCCUCGCGCUAUAGGGUUGGCCGAUGGCUGAUUAGCUCGUUGGUGGGGUAAAGGCCUACCAAGGCGACGAUCAGUAGCUGGUCUGAGAGGACGACCAGCCACACUGGGACUGAGACACGGCCCAGACUCCUACGGGAGGCAGCAGUGGGGAAUUUUGGACAAUGGGCGAAAGCCUGAUCCAGCAAUGCCGCGUGUGUGAAGAAGGCCUUCGGGUUGUAAAGCACUUUUGUCCGGAAAGAAAUCCUUGGCUCUAAUACAGUCGGGGGAUGACGGUACCGGAAGAAUAAGCACCGGCUAACUACGUG
RNAcentral lists this ribosomal RNA (486 nucleotides) under uncultured bacterium. RNAcentral describes it as "partial 16S ribosomal RNA". It matches the Rfam family "Bacterial small subunit ribosomal RNA", at positions 30 to 507 of the family's 1533-position model. The record is from RNAcentral.